UAUUAAUAACAUUUAGUUUUU
RNAcentral lists this non-coding RNA (21 nucleotides) under Caenorhabditis elegans. Lineage: Eukaryota; Metazoa; Nematoda; Chromadorea; Rhabditida; Rhabditidae. The record is from RNAcentral.